RNAcentral lists this ribosomal RNA (428 nucleotides) under uncultured bacterium. Its description in RNAcentral is "bacterial SSU rRNA". It matches the Rfam family "Bacterial small subunit ribosomal RNA", at positions 354 to 796 of the family's 1533-position model. The record is from RNAcentral.
GUGGGGAAUAUUGCACAAUGGAGGGAACUCUGAUGCAGCAACGCCGCGUGAAGGAAGAAGGUUUUCGGAUCGUAAACUUCUAUCAGCAGGGAAGAAAACAAUGACAGUACCUGACUAAGAAGCCCCGGCUAACUACGUGCCAGCAGCCGCGGUAAUACGUAGGGGGCAAGCGUUAUCCGGAUUUACUGGGUGUAAAGGGUGCGUAGGUGGCAUGAUAAGUUAGAUGUGAAAACCCAAGGCUCAACCUUGGGAUUGCAUCUAAAACUGUCAAGCUAGAGUGCAGGAGAGGAAAGCGGAAUUCCUAGUGUAGCGGUGAAAUGCGUAGAUAUUAGGAGGAACACCAGUAGCGAAGGCGGCUUUCUGGACUGUAACUGACACUGAGGCACGAAAGCGUGGGUAGCGAACAGGAUUAGAUACCCCAGUAGUCC